UGAACGCUAGCGACAGGCUAACACAUGCAAGUCGAGGGGUAACAGGGUAGCAAUACCGCUGACGACCGGCGCACGGGUGAGUAACGCGUAUGCAACCUGCCUAUAACUGGGGAAUAGCUCCCUGAAAGGGGAAUUAACACCGCAUAACACUAUUGAUUCGCAUGGAUUAGUAGUUAAAUGUAGCGAUACAGGUUAUAGAUGGGCAUGCGUGACAUUAGCUAGUUGGUGAGGUAACGGCUCACCAAGGCUACGAUGUCUAGGGGUUCUGAGAGGAAGGUCCCCCACACUGGUACUGAGACACGGACCAGACUCCUACGGGAGGCAGCAGUGAGGAAUAUUGGUCAAUGGGCGCAAGCCUGAACCAGCCAUGUCGCGUGCAGGAAGACUGCCCUAUGGGUUGUAAACUGCUUUUAUAGUAGAAGAAACACAUCUACGUGUAGAUGUCUGCCAGUAUACUAUGAAUAAGCAUCGGCUAACUCCGUGCCAGCAGCGGC
Molecule: ribosomal RNA, 494 nt
Filed under: uncultured bacterium
Lineage: Bacteria
Description: bacterial SSU rRNA
Rfam family: Bacterial small subunit ribosomal RNA
Source: RNAcentral